RNAcentral lists this non-coding RNA (21 nucleotides) under Caenorhabditis elegans. The record is from RNAcentral. Lineage: Eukaryota; Metazoa; Nematoda; Chromadorea; Rhabditida; Rhabditidae.
UUCGAUUUUGAGAAAACUGGC